GAAAAGGGGAACAAAGCUCGUGAGAUAAAUAUGUACGACCAGAGCGUAGACCUAGAGGAGGACGAUGCGUUAAAUGAAACGAAAGAUAAGGAACGGCGGCAGUCGC
Molecule: long non-coding RNA, 106 nt
Organism: Pectinophora gossypiella (pink bollworm)
Lineage: Eukaryota; Metazoa; Arthropoda; Insecta; Lepidoptera; Gelechiidae
Exons: 3
Source: RefSeq, a predicted model, not a curated record